UAGCUUUUCAUAAAUUAUUAUUUAUUAUCUGGUGGAGAAUAGGAAAUCUUGACAUAAAAAAGAAUGAAUUGGUUCUUGUUUCUAAAUCCAUAAAUGCAGCUUGUAGUGGUCUUGUAGAAACUGUCUUCUUAGACUGUCUUGCAGAAAUAUGACAUUCAGUUACUAAUUCAGGGGCUGUUUAGAGAUGCACUACUAAUUUCUCUUUGUUUUCCAUGUUAUCCAGAAUGAAGUAUCUUAUUUGGAGGAAGAAGCCUCUGAAGCAGGAAGCACAACUAACUUAGCAGCUGAAAGUUUGUUACUCUUAAGAAUGGUGAUUGUUCCUUAUUAAAUCAGUGGACAUAGAUAUCAGCACAGCUGCCUCCAAGGGUGAUUUCAGACAAAUCCAGUCCUAUGGGAAUCAAGGCAAAGGUUUCCUCUGUGCAUGUUAAUUUGAGUCUGUCUCACGGUGACAAAGGCAAUGGCAGAGCCCACAGCAAUGAGCAUGCUAAUAAAGUAGCUGGAUGUACUUAUCAGGAAAGAGAAGCCAAGUAGGUCACUAGUCCUAGUUCAGCGGCAAGAUUUCUUUCUGUUCUAAAUUUUCACAACAAAUUGGUUGUACAAGCUCAGGUAAAUCUCAAAAGGUUGAAUAAGGAUUCACAAGUCAAUUGAAAUGUUUCCAUUUUGAAAGUAGUCAUUGUUUUGCUAAUGCCAUUGAUUGCUUAAUUCUGCUACUUUCUUUAGCAGCAAAGGGAAAUGGAAACCAUUCCUGUAAUUGGCAAUAGGAAACUUUAUACAGAAACCAGUUGAACCGGAAAGAAAACUAUGCUAGGCUUUCAGUUAAUAAGGUUUCUCAAUCAAUCAGUAAUAGUUGCUGAGUUCCCACUCUAGGGGGUCUGCUUUUUCAGGUAAACUCUGUGUUCUUAGAUUUUCUAUGUAGAGCUACAAGGAAUGCCUCUCAAAAACUCGCGCAACAGCAGGCCCUCCAGGACCAGUUCAACUGACCCCAUCUUAUCAACAGAGUGAUUAAGAACUGUCUUUCAGAAAAUUUGGAAAGUCACAUAGCCAGAGCUUGUGCAGGAGAGGAAAUCUUGACCCUAAAUGACAGCAGAACCAAAGAUCCUCCUUCCCAUGGAACCCAAGGACCAGGACACGACCAGAUCUUGAAAGUCAGACUCUUCUCAGAAGCGAGGGGUCCAUCGUUCAGGAAGAUUCAGCGUUAAAAUUCCUUCCCCGCCUCAUCAAAAA
RNAcentral lists this long non-coding RNA (1224 nucleotides) under Equus caballus (horse). Its description in RNAcentral is "lncRNA (ENSECAG00000055255.1)". The record is from RNAcentral. Lineage: Eukaryota; Metazoa; Chordata; Mammalia; Perissodactyla; Equidae.